Long non-coding RNA from Capra hircus (goat), 304 nucleotides. RefSeq lists it as uncharacterized. The transcript is spliced from 3 exons. The record is from RefSeq and is a predicted model, not a curated record. Lineage: Eukaryota; Metazoa; Chordata; Mammalia; Artiodactyla; Bovidae.
UGCUCACCAUGCUGCGCCACCAAAAGGGAAACAUACAUAGAACCAAGAGCCCCAUGGCAACGGAUCACAAACCUUGGGGCAGAGCCACGUUCCUGACUUCACGAAGACGAUCUUGCUCUCUGUCUCUCACGUGAGAUAAUCUCACUGUAAAGAAGGGCGUCUGGACACGUCAGUCUGAUCCCUGCUGGUCACAGUGUGCAGGUGUGAGAAUGAGGCUCAGAGGGGCUGCACGGCACGUGGCAGAUCAGACAGAUACUGGGAUUCCGAAUCUACCUGCCUCUGAAGCCAAAGUUCAGAGUCCCAU